GAUGAACGCUAGCGGCAGGCCUAAUACAUGCAAGUCGAGGGAGAAGUUUAAUGCUUGCAUUAAACAGAAACCGGCGCACGGGUGCGUAACACGUAUGCAACCUACCUUUAACUGGGGUAUAGCUUGAAGAAAUUCAAAUUAAUCCCCCAUAACAUAUUGAAAUCGCAUGAUUACAAUAUCAAAGCUCCGGCGGUUAAAGAUGGGCAUGCGUCCCAUUAGUUAGUUGGUGAGGUAACGGCUCACCAAGACCGCGAUGGGUAGCGGGUUUGAGAGGAUGAUCCGCCACACUGGUACUGAGACACGGACCAGACUCCUACGGGAGGCAGCAGUAGGGAAUAUUGGGCAAUGGACGAAAGUCUGACCCAGCCAUGCCGCGUGCAGGAAGACAGCCCUAUGGGUCGUAAACUGCUUUUAUAUAGGAAGAAACCCCUUGUUUCUACAAGGGCUGACGGUACUAUACGAAUAAGGAUCGGCUAACUCCG
RNAcentral lists this ribosomal RNA (482 nucleotides) under uncultured Bacteroidota bacterium. Its description in RNAcentral is "bacterial SSU rRNA". It matches the Rfam family "Bacterial small subunit ribosomal RNA", at positions 28 to 505 of the family's 1533-position model. Lineage: Bacteria; Pseudomonadati; Bacteroidota. The record is from RNAcentral.